Molecule: long non-coding RNA, 2073 nt
Organism: Bos taurus (domestic cattle)
Lineage: Eukaryota; Metazoa; Chordata; Mammalia; Artiodactyla; Bovidae
Source: Ensembl
UUGUGCUGGCAAGAGGCUGCAAGGAAACACUGCCAGGCCAAGCAGGCAGCAGAGUGGGGACCACAGGACGGUAGGCCUCGCAGAGCCUAGGUGGUGGUUGGGCCAUCAUUGUGGAGAGGGCCACAAUGUCAUCUGUGUCAUCAUUCAGAUGCUUCUGUUCCCCUACUCCAAGCUGAUGGCUGCCCCACGUUUGGUCACUUUCACAUUGCCCACAUCCUGGCAGUACCACACUGUAUCCCCCACCCUCUUCGCUCACACAUACACUUGUGCUUACACACCCGCCCAUGCCUGGCUGUAGCAGUGUCCCCUGAGUAUGCCUGCCACCUUGCUCAUGAGUGGGCAGGGCCUCUGGGGCCAGUUCAGAGUAACUUGGUUCUGGAUGCCAGAGAAGGAAAUGGAGUAGAGGCCAAGAUCCCAGGCAGGCGCCAUCCCGUAGUCUGAUGUCUGUCCUGUGAAACUGCAACGGCCUCCCGUGAGGCCAGGAUUUAGGCCCUUAAGGCCGUUCCAGGGUCAGGGAGAAAACAUCUCAUGGGCAAAAAUGGGGGUGACCAAAGAGUGCCAAGAGAAAGAGGAGGAAACCACAUAGCUGGAUGGAGGGUGAGAUGAGACCUUGGUGGAAAAAGAUGGCAAGAGAAGAAGGGGCACCGAUGGGGGCCCAUGCCCCCAGCGAUGACCACACAGCAGAUAUUCUGCAUCUCUGUGGCUGUGGUGGGUGAAUUGACUCAGCUCCCAAAGGCCUCAAGCUGAGGCCAGGCCAGAGCAACCUGCAUGUCUGACCAGCCCAUCACCUCAGGGCUGCCUUCUGCUUCUUCCACCAUCCCAACCCACUUCCUCAUCUGACUCUGUGGCUCCCUUGCACAGGCCUGAGACGUGGUAAGAGAGGAACCGUGUAUACCCAUUGGUUGGCUAAGGACAGUGAAGGCAGAACAGGACAGAUCUCACAGUCAGAUACCAGCGUGAGGAGCCAAGGAAAGGUGAGGCUGGAGCAGCCUGCCUCACAAACUGGGAGGAGCCUGGCAGGCGGCUGCAAGGGACACUCUUGGGCCCAUUUCCCAGCCAAGGUUUGGCAGGGGUUGUGGCCAGUGUGACCAAGGUAGGGAUGCUGGCCCUUUUGGAAUUGGUCUUGGUUGCAAUAGUCAAGCCAAAGAAGGGGCUGGAGGUUGGGUGAGAAAGGAGGGAAUAGGGGGCUCAGUCUUCCUGAAGACCUUAGCUGUUCCCAUUUCUUCUCUGGCCUACAGCCCAUCUACUGGGGGAACCCCAGGACAAGCCAGUUCUGGGAGGCUACUGGGACUUGGGUCACAUGAGACAUGGCAGGAAGGCACUGUCCGAAGAGCUGUCUGGUGGGCUCAUGUGGGGCUGGCUCAGAGCUGAGGACUGAAAGCUGAGUAACGCUAGAGCAAAAGGAGGGAGAAGGCAAUGGCACCCCACUCCAGUACUGUUGCCUGGAAAAUCCCAUGGAUGGAGGAGCCUGGUGGGCUGCAGUCCAUGGGGUCGCACAGAGUCGAACACGACUGAAGCGACUUGGCAGGCAGCAGAGCAAAAGGAGAGGAAGGGUACUCCCCUGCACAUGCCCCAAGGGAGGAUACAGUUAAACAUCUGCAGGGAACUAGAGGUGAUUUGAUGUAGCAGAAUCCAGAUUCUUGUCCUGUAGGAGUAGCCGGAUGGAGAUAGGCAGAAUUGUUCUGUUCCCUUGGCCUUGAAAAGGUCCGUGCCACAGGAUCUUCCUCUCAGGGUUGGUCAAGGCAGGCUUUCUGGAGAGUCCAAGGUGGGACAAGUUAUUGGGGAGGGGGAUCCCAGGCCAGAAUCACAUGCCACGGGGGCAAGUCAGGAGUUUGUGGAGAUCAGGGCAGGGAUGGAUGAUCCUCAGACACUCAGGACUGGGUGCUGGCAAGGUCAGCAAAGCCACACCCCUGCUUUUAGAGGCCAGCUCUGUGUUUUCUGCUUUUUUUUUCCCCCACAACUUCCCUAAGCCUCUAGCCCUGAACUUCUCUCCCACGUUGGAGGAGGAACAGACCCAAAACGUGCUGGGGCAGCACUUGCGUGUGUCUGCACACAACAGGGUUUAGCCUCCCU